CCCCCCAGCCCGGUCACAGGCCCUAACCCCAAAACCAACCACCCCUCACCCUGGCCCCACGAUAUAUAUAUACAUCAUAUAUAUAUAUGUGGAUAUCCUGUGUGUCCUGUCGACUGAAGAACCGGAUGGAUUGGAUGAACCGAUGGAUGAGACGAGGAUGGAUUCCCUCUUGGAGAUCGCUCCUGGAUAAGAAUCCACUGGAUACUAUUUUCGUUCUUGGGAUGUCUACUUGGAUGCUGCGGAUCGACCUUAACGGCGAUCGAGUUAAAGGACAGUGGAAGACACUUAGUUAUAUACAUACAUGAAUUAAUAUCGUGGUGAAGUUUUAUCAGUGUUAAUCGUUGUAGUGAAGUGAUACGUAAUCAAUAAAAAUACACUAUUUUAUGUAAAUAA
Cephus cinctus (wheat stem sawfly) is the source of this 393-nucleotide long non-coding RNA. RefSeq lists it as uncharacterized. The record is from RefSeq and is a predicted model, not a curated record. The transcript has 2 exons. NCBI's taxonomy places the organism in Eukaryota, Metazoa, Arthropoda, Insecta, Hymenoptera, Cephidae.